Molecule: long non-coding RNA, 546 nt
Filed under: Ananas comosus (pineapple)
Lineage: Eukaryota; Viridiplantae; Streptophyta; Magnoliopsida; Poales; Bromeliaceae
Description: long non-coding RNA (ACOM_LNC026344)
Source: RNAcentral
UAAACUAUGCACUAGAUGUAGGUAAUAGGUUACUGUGACACUUCAAUAAUUUCAUAUCGGAUAAUUAUUACUAGAUGUGGAAAUAUAUAAACAUGAUUGGACUAGACAUAAUAACUGGGCUUAAGCAUUUGGGCUGGUGGUUUGGGCCCAACAAGUUAUUAUUGCUAGCGAGUCGGGUUGUUACAUUUGGUAUCAGAGCUAGUUCAACAGCCGAAAGAGUCUUGGCUCAGCCAAGGUCGGUGAUUGACAGGUUAAGUCAGAAUUGGAAUGACAAAGAUUAGCGAGACAAGUCUCACAUUGCCUGGUAAUCUUGGAUUUUGUAUGUGUUUAGAGCUGACGAGGACGUCAGGGCCUCAGGUGAGUCCAUUACACCUCAAUAAUUUCACAUCGGAUAGUUAUGGCUAGAUAUAGGAAUAUAUAAACUUGAUUGGGCUAGACAUAAUAACUGACCUUAAGUAUUUUGGAUUAGUGAUUUGGGCCCAACGUGUUAUUAUUGCUAGCGGGUCGAGUCGUAAAUACAAUUACCAUCAAUAUUAAAUAUUCAUA